Molecule: ribosomal RNA, 440 nt
Filed under: uncultured bacterium
Lineage: Bacteria
Description: partial 16S ribosomal RNA
Rfam family: Bacterial small subunit ribosomal RNA
Source: RNAcentral
CCUACGGGAGGCAGCAGUGGGGAAUAUUGCACAAUGGGGGAAACCCUGAUGCAGCGACGCCGCGUGAGUGAAGAAGUAUUUCGGUAUGUAAAGCUCUAUCAGCAGGGAAGAAAAUGACGUUACCUGAUUAAGAAGCCCCGGCUAACUACGUGCCAGCAGCCGCGGUCAUACGUAGGGGGCAAGCGUUAUCCGGAUUUGCUGGGUGUAAAGGGAGCGUAGACGGCAGCACAAGUCUGGAGUGAAAUGCCGGGGCUUAACCCCGGAACUGCUUUGGAAACUGGGCAGCUAGAGUGCAGGAGAGGUAAGUGGAAUUCCUAGUGUAGCGGUGAAAUGCGUAGAUAUUAGGAGGAACACCAGUGGCGAAGGCGGCUUACUGGACUGUAACUGACGUUGAGGCUCGAAAGCGUGGGGAGCAAACAGGAUUAGAUACCCGAGUAGUC